Molecule: long non-coding RNA, 293 nt
Filed under: Lupinus angustifolius (narrow-leaved blue lupine)
Lineage: Eukaryota; Viridiplantae; Streptophyta; Magnoliopsida; Fabales; Fabaceae
Description: long non-coding RNA (LANG_LNC002937)
Source: RNAcentral
AAAUGAGAGUAUUAAUCUUUCAACAAAUUGACACUGCUGUCAGGACAAUUUGUUGAUAGGAGAAAACUCCCAACUAAAAUAAACACCGAAUAACGCUUUCAACAGAUGAGAAUUGAGAAUAGGAAAGAGACUCCAUUCUAUGAUACCAUGGGAUGUAACAAUAUCAAGAGGAAUAUUUCAUUUGAUCCAUCUGAGGUAAAGAUGUUGAUGCGGGUGACAUGGAUUAAAGUGGAAGCCAAGCAAGAACGAUGGUGGCACCAUACGAGGACUGCCAAAAAGAAGAGAAUCCCCCA